This is a small nucleolar RNA of Ornithorhynchus anatinus (platypus), 133 nucleotides long. NCBI's taxonomy places the organism in Eukaryota, Metazoa, Chordata, Mammalia, Monotremata, Ornithorhynchidae. The record is from RefSeq and is a predicted model, not a curated record.
UCCUUCUCAGAAUGGCACCUGGAGAGUUUCCAGUACUCUACCAGUCUUGGCUAUGAGAGGGAGAGCCAAGCAGAAGCCAUUCCAUUCCUAGCUUUGGAAGUGGCUAGAGAGUGGAAGACCAUCUGCCACAAGU